CUUUUAUGGAGAGUUUGAUCCUGGCUCAGGACGAACGCUGGCGGCGUGCCUAAUACAUGCAAGUCGAGCGGACCUU
RNAcentral lists this ribosomal RNA (76 nucleotides) under Ureibacillus antri. Its description in RNAcentral is "Lysinibacillus sp. SYSU K30002 partial 16S ribosomal RNA". It matches the Rfam family "Bacterial small subunit ribosomal RNA", at positions 1 to 74 of the family's 1533-position model. The record is from RNAcentral. Lineage: Bacteria; Bacillati; Bacillota; Bacilli; Caryophanales; Caryophanaceae.